RNAcentral lists this ribosomal RNA (546 nucleotides) under uncultured bacterium. RNAcentral's name for it is "bacterial SSU rRNA". It matches the Rfam family "Bacterial small subunit ribosomal RNA", at positions 942 to 1482 of the family's 1533-position model. The record is from RNAcentral.
UGGUUUUAAUUCGNUGCAACGNGAAGAACCUUACCCAGGCUUGACAUNUAGGGAACCCUUCGGAAAUGAAGGGGUGCCNUUCGGGGAGCCCUAAGACAGGUGNNGCAUGGCNGUCGUCAGCUCGUGCCNUGAGGNGUUGGGUUAAGUCCCGCAACGAGCGCAACCCCUAUCUUCAGUUGCCAGCAGGUAAGGCUGGGCACUCUGGAGAGACCGCCCCGGUCAACGGGGAGGAAGGUGGGGACGACGUCAAGUCAUCAUGGCCCUUACGCCUGGGGCUACACACGUACUACAAUGGCGCGCACAAAGGGUAGCGAGACCGCGAGGUGGAGCCAAUCCCAAAAAACGCGUCCCAGUCCGGAUUGGAGUCUGCAACUCGACUCCAUGAAGUCGGAAUCGCUAGUAAUUCGAGAUCAGCAUGCUCGGGUGAAUGCGUUCCCGGGCCUUGUACACACCGCCCGUCACACCACGAAAGUCGGUUUUACCCGAAGCCGGUGAGCUAACUCGCAAGAGAAGCAGCCGUCUACGGUAGGGCCGAUGAUUGGGGUG